UAUUCACAUCAUAAACCCGCCACC
This 24-nucleotide microRNA is filed under the name Heligmosomoides polygyrus. RNAcentral describes it as "hpo-miR-10104-3p". The record is from miRBase by way of RNAcentral. Lineage: Eukaryota; Metazoa; Nematoda; Chromadorea; Rhabditida; Heligmosomidae.